This is a long non-coding RNA of Carassius carassius (crucian carp), 385 nucleotides long. RefSeq lists it as uncharacterized. Lineage: Eukaryota; Metazoa; Chordata; Actinopteri; Cypriniformes; Cyprinidae. The transcript has 3 exons. The record is from RefSeq and is a predicted model, not a curated record.
AACAGUUCUAAACUUUGUUGUUGAUUUUAAUUGCUGUGUCACUAAAUCUUUUUAGUUAAUAAUCAGUAAUUAUUUACACAAGUCCUGUAUUUGGAUGCAUCAACUAACAACCGUGCCAGUACAGCAUUCUCCUUUUUCUUUGAGGUCACCCAGCUCCAUGGUGUUCCAUCAAGGGUUCGUGGAGAUCAAGGAGUUGAAAAUUUGGACAUCGCCUACUUCAUGUUUGCGAGACGAGGAACCGGCCGAGCUAGCUUUAUCUUGGGAAAAAGUGUACACAAUCAAAGAAUGGAACGGAUGUGGCGAGACGUGUGGAUGGCUGUCACCUGCAUAUUUUAUGAUGUGCUUCACACACUGGAGGAAGAUGGUUUCCUGGAUAUUUCCAACA